Long non-coding RNA from Dalotia coriaria, 666 nucleotides. RefSeq lists it as uncharacterized. NCBI's taxonomy places the organism in Eukaryota, Metazoa, Arthropoda, Insecta, Coleoptera, Staphylinidae. The transcript has 2 exons. The record is from RefSeq and is a predicted model, not a curated record.
CUAUUAUAAAAGCGCGGAACACUCAGAAUCCAUGCUUUUAUUUGUUAUAUCAUAACAUUUUAACAUUUUGCUAAACUAAUGAAGUCUGCAGUUGUUAUUUUUUGUCUUGUUGUCCUAAUCAUUGGGAAUGAUUCCCUGGUUAAAGCAUCCGAAUAUGUGGAAUGUUCGAAGAAAGAAUGGAAGAGUUUAUUCGCCGGUAUUUCAUACAUAAAUAAUAUGCGUGAUUGCUUGGAACAUAUGACCGAUAUACAAGAUAUUCUGGAUACACUUGAAAACUAGAGGAAGAGGUUCAUCAAUACAAUGCUUUCUUCGAAAAAGAGCAUGAUGAUGAAGCAAAGUACGAUCGACUUAAUCAAUAUGGCGCACAAGUUAACAACACUAACUUUGAUAUCAAAUCAAUGGUUGCUGAAUUGGAUAAUUCCGAGGUAAACAAAUGUUUUGAACUGGAAGUGAAGAAAGCUGAUAAUGGAAUUGGUAAAGCUCGUCAUUGCAAAGAUUGAUAAAAUUAGUAACUUAAUAAUUGCAUAAUUAAACGUAGGUUUAACUUGAGAUUAGUAAAUUUGGUGGAUUUGAAAAUUUUAUAAAUAAAAUCAAAAGUACCUAUAUAACUCUUGUUUGCUUUUUUUCAAAGAAGUUAGAUGACCCAAUAUACACAUGUUUACUGUU